UGUUCGGUAAACAGGAAGUUGUCAAGUUAUCAAUCUGAAAACGCAUGACACAGUAUAGCUGACUUAGAUAAACCCUGAAACCAAAUUUCAGAAAUCCUUGUAUUGUAGUUACUGAGAAAAAUGUGACGAAAAUUUUCAACUUGGCUAUCAUGUGUAAAAUCAUACAAGUGUUCGGUAAACAGGAAGUUGUCAAGUGAUCAAUCUGAAAACGCAUCACAUGGUAUAGCUGACUUAGAUAAACCCUGAAACCAAAUUUCAGAAAUCCUUGUAUUGUAGUUCCUGAGAAAAAUGCGACGAAAAAUAUUCAUGGGACAGACUGACGGACUGACAGAAG
This 334-nucleotide long non-coding RNA is filed under the name Mytilus galloprovincialis (Mediterranean mussel). The record is from RNAcentral. Lineage: Eukaryota; Metazoa; Mollusca; Bivalvia; Mytilida; Mytilidae.